Molecule: unclassified non-coding RNA, 310 nt
Filed under: Hevea brasiliensis (rubber tree)
Lineage: Eukaryota; Viridiplantae; Streptophyta; Magnoliopsida; Malpighiales; Euphorbiaceae
Source: RNAcentral
GGAAAGGGAUCCCUGGACCUCACUGAUAGUUUCUCUAUUUUCACAUAGCUGAGAAAAGUCCCCAAAGUUGAUGCCAGCUUCUUUGGCCCACUGCUCAAGGGCUGGACGCAAAGGGACAACAACUGCUACACAAUAAUUGUGAAAGGGGUCUGCAUGUACCAUAACAUUAUCCACGUACUUGCUAGAUAGUAGGGCAGCCUCGGCCUUCCCUAGGGAUAUAUAUUCUCCAUGCUGGAGUUUAACGAUAUCUUUUUUCCUAUCUAUGAUCUCAAGGCAUCCAUCGGGAUGAAAUGCUCCUAUAUCUCCCGUG